Molecule: long non-coding RNA, 2375 nt
Filed under: Homo sapiens (human)
Lineage: Eukaryota; Metazoa; Chordata; Mammalia; Primates; Hominidae
Description: HSALNT0357336
Source: RNAcentral
AGACAGGAUCUCUGUCCCCAGGCUGGAGUGCAGUGGCAUGAUCUCAGCUCACUGUAACUCCGCCUCCCAGGCUCAAGAGAUCCUCCCGCCUUAGCCUUCCGAGUAGCUGGGAUUACAGGUACACACUACCAUGGCCAGCUAAUUUUUGCAUUUUUUGUAGAGACAUUUGUUUCACCUUGUUGCGUAGGCUGGGCUCAAGCAAUCUACCCACCUUGGCCUCCCAAAGUGCUGAGAUUAUAGGCGUCAGCCACAGUGCCCAGCCAAAAGUAUCCUCUUUUUAAAAUGCACACUGGGAGCUGGGCAGGGUGGGACCAACUGAAGUAGAGCCAUCAGAAUCCUUCCCUGGAAAUACCAGCAUCUCACACUUGGUGUAGCUAAAGAGUCAAAAACAUUUAGAGACAUUAGCAGGUCCAGUUGAGUUCUUCAGCUAGAGGGUUGACAAUAUGAGAGGAAAGGGAUACUCAGAAGGAAGAGUAGUGAAAAAGAUAGGAAGUUGUGAAAUCCACAUGCCAUCCCAUUCUAAAAUUUUGCCUACAUCUUGCCCUACUCCUGUCCAAAGAAAACUCCUAUUUUCUUUUUUGCUUUCUUUGCCUCCCGUUAACCCAGGUCCUCUUGCACCCUACUCCAGACAUUAAAACUGAUAACACAAUCAUUAAUAUUGUAGUUCAGCUUCAUGGUGGGCAUAAGUGAGCAUUUAUGGGCCAGAGUUGCUAUCUGAAAUCCAGUUACAAGGUUGUAACUGUGAGAAGAAUGCCCUAGGUUCUAAACAGCGAUUUAUAAGCUGAUUUUUGGAAAAUAAUCCACCUGUAAAGUGGGGAUUGCCAGAAAUAAACGUAUUUGCAAAUUCUAGUGACAAGAAAGCAAAGUUUUCUUCAAUGUGGUGCCAUUCAUUGGUUCCCUCUAAACAAAGAGUUUUGACUCUGGUGGCUCCAGGGCUGAGCGUACUCCAUGCCUGCUGAUCCUCACAGUUUCUGGGCCCCUGACUUAUAAAUGUGGAUCCAGAGAUCCAUCCACCUGCCUUUGCGAGAUGAGCACGCCUCCUGUUACAAAUUAGACAUGCUCCUCUUACCCCACUGUGGGUCUACAUAUCAGUCUCAAAACACAGUUUGGGGAGAAACAUUCUCCUGGGAGCUGCCUUUAGAGGAACGCAGACAAAUUCCAUCUCUGGGCAAGGGCAAUAAGAGCCACACUCCAGGGGGAGGCCAAAUGAGAGUCAGUAUGUGACCCCACCCAAGAUAGAUUGUAUAGAUACACGUCUCCCAGGAAGACUCAGAAAGGUAACAGCAGCUACUCCAAAACUAAAGAGGGUGAGGAUUGUGCAUCCUACACAGAACCCAUACAACAGCUCUGUGUGGCCGAUGCAAAAAUGUAACAGCACCCGAAGGAUGAUGGUUGAUUACCAAAAACUAAGGUGACUCUGGCCACACAUGCUGCGGUCCCAAAUGUUAGCCCCAAAAGACUAACUGCUUGUUUAGGAAUAUGAAAGAUUGUCCUAUAACAAAACUUUCUUGAACAUACCCUUAGACCCAGAGUCCCAGGACAUGUUUGCCUUCACCGGUGAGGCCCCCAGUGGACCCUUCAGGUUUUCCUCCAGGGGUGCUCACAAAACCCCACUACUGCCUUGGCUUGAUGGCCAGAGACCUGGCUGUUCGGGUGAAUGCCUUGCAGGUCGCCUAAAACAUUGUAUAGAUAAUAUGUCACUGACUUACACAGGUUUGAGUCUUUUAAAAAAGGCUACCCAAAAGGUUCUAAAACACCUACAAUUCCCAGAGGAUAGGUUGUCAACCAACAGAAAGUCCAGGAACCAGGGGACACCAUAAAAGUCCUGAACAUGGUCUAGUCGGGUGAAGCUGGUUUUUCCAACAGCCGUAUUUGACAAAAGACACAGCUGCAAGCAGUUGAAAUAUUGCAGACCUUUGUAGAGCCACAAAGAUAUGAAAGGACCUUCAUUUCCACUUGGCCCACUGUCUCAGGCCAUCUUACUGCCUAAUUAAAAGGGGGCGCAGUGGGGCAGAGAUGCGUUUUUGGGGUGAUUCCAGCCUCAGGUUUGACAAAAGAGACUGUGUGUAGAGUGAAGCUACAAGCCUGGGCCUGAUUCAGUUGUCAGCUGAUGGCCUCUUUGGGCAGUCACUUCCUUCAAGACGACUGCUAAACUAGUCCAUGGAGCUGUACUGUGCCUGAACCCUCAUCCUGGUGGUCUCACUUCUGGGAUAUAACCUUGAGUGGAAAUUGGCCUACAGAGUGGCUCUACUUUUCCUGGAGGUCUUAAGCCGUGAUAAUAUCCAAUCUUGGCUUUAGCUUGGGAGAUAGUGAUCUUGGGGCCCUGAAGAUUCUCGCCCAUUCGGCAGAAGCCAGAGGACCUCUUACUAGGGGAA